This 253-nucleotide ribosomal RNA is filed under the name uncultured bacterium. Its description in RNAcentral is "partial 16S ribosomal RNA". It matches the Rfam family "Bacterial small subunit ribosomal RNA", at positions 524 to 776 of the family's 1533-position model. The record is from RNAcentral.
UACGAAGGGGGCUAGCGUUGCUCGGAAUGACUGGGCGUAAAGGGCGCGUAGGCGGAUUGCUUUGUCGGGCGUGAAAUUCCAGGGCUUAACCUUGGGGCUGCGUUCGAGACGGGUGAUCUUGAGUUCGGAAGAGGGUCGUGGAAUUCCCAGUGUAGAGGUGAAAUUCGUAGAUAUUGGGAAGAACACCGGUGGCGAAGGCGGCGACCUGGUCCGAGACUGACGCUGAGGCGCGAAAGCGUGGGGAGCAAACAGG